RNAcentral lists this ribosomal RNA (252 nucleotides) under uncultured bacterium. RNAcentral's name for it is "partial 16S ribosomal RNA". It matches the Rfam family "Bacterial small subunit ribosomal RNA", at positions 793 to 1055 of the family's 1533-position model. The record is from RNAcentral.
GUCCACACGGUAACGAUGAAUACUCGCUGUUGGCGAUAUACAGUCAGCGGCCAAGCGAAGCAUUAAGUAUUCCACCUGGGAGUACGCCGGCAACGGUGAAACUCAAAGGAAUUGACGGGGCCCGCACAAGCGGAGGAACAUGUGGUUAAUUCGAUGAUACGCGAGGAACCUUACCCGGGCUUAAAUUGCACUGGACAGUCUCAGAGAUGGGGAUUUCUUCGGACCAGUGUGAAGGUGCUGCAUGGUUGUCGU